This 4684-nucleotide long non-coding RNA is filed under the name Sus scrofa (pig). Its description in RNAcentral is "lncRNA (ENSSSCG00055006500.1)". Lineage: Eukaryota; Metazoa; Chordata; Mammalia; Artiodactyla; Suidae. The record is from RNAcentral.
AUCUCAGCAUCUCCACAUCUCAGCACCUCCGAAUCUCAGCAUCCAGCUCGAGCUGUGAACCACAUCUGUGGUGCAUCUGUGCUUUAUCUGGUUUAUUUCAUGGACCUAAGGGCUGCAUCUACAACAACACUGAUCCUUUAACCCACUGUGUGGGGCUGGGGAACAACCUGUGUCCUGGUGCUGCUGAGACGCCACCAAUCCCGUUGGGCUACAGCAGAACGCCUGGAGAGGAUAUUUUAAUAUAUUGAAUCAUUGAGAAAUGAUAAAAGGAGAAGUCCAUACACAUUCAUGAUUUUCCUUUUUUUAAAAAAUUUUUUGAGAAUGAUAACAUCCCCUGAGGAGCCCUCUUGAAGGAAGAGAACAGAAACGUCAGCAUCCUGGGUUGUUCUCAUGCCCACAGACACUUUCCGUGGGGGAGCAGUGACCCCAAGCGUGGCCCAGGGUCCUCAAGACCCUCUCCAAAAGGGUUCCUAGGGUCAAAACUAUUUUCAUAAUACCAGAGAUUUGUUCCUUUUUCAGUCUCCUGCUCUCCUGAUUGUACAGGGGAAUUUUCUAGAAGCUGAUAGUGCAGACUGAUUGAGCAGACUGACUACAGACUGAUGGUGCAGACUGACGGUGGAGACUAACUGCAAACUGAGUGCAGACUGAUGGUGCAGACUGAUUGCAGAAGCAGCUAUGAACAUUCACCUGUAUUGUUAGCCAGACAUUACAGCAAUUUGCAGAAAUGGAAGCAAUGUUACUCCAUUUCUGCUCUUUGAGAAGAGACGUUACUACUUACAGGCUUGCAGAUCCCUCUGAAGGUUUGUUCUCUGCGAGUGGAAGCAUCCUCCGCAAGGCCAGAAGCAGGGCUCCAAGCGCGAAGUCAGGACCCAGAAAUGAGGCCUCGGUGGAUUCCCCACCCAGUCAGGGGGAAGGACUCUGAAUGGCUGGUCCCGUGUCAUGUGACCGCCCUUGAGCCUCUGCCUGGUGUGCGGACAGAGCUGAGAUGCCCAGCGAAGAGAAAAUGGUUUCCCCAGGUUCUGGACUCGCUUCUCAGCGACUCCAGUUUUGUUCAGGAAAUCGAGACGUCUCAUGCUUCCAGAGCUCUUCUCCAACCCCAAAGAUUGGCCAAUCCAGAGGUUCUUAACUUGAGUGGCCCAGCGCAGUGCCUCAGGGGACUUUUAAACAUCAGGAUGCGGAGAACAUGUUGGACCAGGGAAAUCAGUCACUGGGGAUGAGACUCAGCCAGCAUCAGUAUUUUGUAAAGCUCCCCAGGCUUAUGACAUGCCUGAAGCUUUACUAGCUUCUCUGCUUCCCAGCAGCUACCCACCGACCAGCUCCUCACACUCUUGCUAUGAGCCAUGAAUCAAAACUUAUUUUGAGGAGAAAAGCAACCCAGAAAGGCCCUGUUGGAUACCCCACCUCCUCCUCUGAGAAUAUCAGGUGAACAUUCUCUCAUUCAUUUUGCCACUUUGUUUAUAUCCAAAUAUCUGGAUAUUAACGGACAAAUGCAGGAGCCAGUUGGGUCCCCAGAACUUCGAAAUUAACCUUUCUGAGCAAAGGAAAAAGCUCUUCCCGUCCUCUCAGGGUGAGUGACUGAUUGGGCAGCUUGCUUCAACGUUCGGACACACCCAGAAAAUUGUUCCAGACUGUGGAUCAGAGGCCUCUAAGUGUGUCAAACUCACUUGCCUCUAGGUAGCUGGGCUGCUGUUCCCGGUCCAGCUGUAUAACCAUAUAAUAUGUCACCCAUCUCCAGACAGUUUUUUUAGUAAAAAGAGUUGUUUUUGAUGAGCAUGCUGUGACCAAAGACUCAACCUAGGACAACGCCUGGGGAACCAGGACCCACCGCCUAAGUCUGCCUGGGUAACUUCUGGGGCCGCCAAUGGCUGGUGACACCCCCCUGCCCACCUGCAGCUGUCCUUAGGGCUGGCCUGUGGUAAAAAUGACAGGCGAAGAUCUUAAGAAAGUACAGUUUUUAUGAGACCAACUGUUUUGUGAAUGCUCUCAACAACAGAGCCCCAUGUCUGCAGAUCUUCCAGAGGGCUAACGAAAGCCAAGUUUGAGGAAGCGUGGCUCUCACUCUGAGGGAAAAUGUGAAAAAAAGAUUAUAGAAAUCAGGAGUUCCCACUGUGUAAUGAAUCUGACUAGUACCCAUGAGGAUGCAGGUUCAAUCCCUGUCCUUGCUCAGUGGGUUAAGGAUCCGGCGUUGCCGCGAGCUGUGGUGUAGGUCACAGACGCGGCUUGGGUCCCACGUGGCUGUGGCUGUGGUGUAGGCCGGCAGCUGCAGCUCUGAUUCAACCCCUAACUUGGGAACCUCCAUAUGCCGUGGGUGUGGCCCUAAAAAGAAAAGAAAAGAUUACAAAAAUCAGAUGACACAAUGAAAAGAAGCGGAGGAGGUGGACUGUGCGUGGACCUGCAUAGAAACAGCAAUUUUGCAGAAGCACCUCUGAGUGGAGUUCUAGGGACAGACCGAAUAGGCUUUGUGGAGACACACCCUGUCACUCCUACGAAGUCCUGCAGGUAACUGGCUCCCAUGACCAGCAUGAUGGGAAAAGAACAAGGGCCUUUCUAUGCUACAGCCACACAAAGAUGCUGCAAAAGAAGGGAAAGAAAAGGCAGCACAGAUUACCAACAGAGGAAGGGAAUUCUCCAGAAAAGCAUUGCCUUGCAAGAGAUGAAAAAUUGUAGGAAGUGAAAUCUUCAUUCGUUUAAAAUAAAUGCUAUUUUAAGAGGUGUACAAUGAAGCCUAAAGGCAAGAACUCAGAAUGUAGAAACGGAGGAUGUUAAUCACAGGUGGGCAGAGGGCAGGACAGAAAGAUGAGGAUGGCAUUGGAUAGAGUCCAAAGGCAAAUGAACACUAACAAGAAAAAUGAGGUGACCUGAAGAGUAGAAGCGAGAAAAGUCAAAAGAAAAUGGGAAAAAAGUGUUAAACUUAUCACAGGACACAGGUAUGCAAGAAACUAGCCCAAAUAAUGUUGAGCAUAGUAUGUUGACUCUGUACCUCAGAUUGAAGAUAAAAAUGCUGUACCCAUGCUGAAUUCUAACUAGGAGCUUUGUUGGUCCUGGUCAUUUGGGCUACUCAUUUGGCAACCACUUCUGAGUAUUUUUGGAUAGAGAAGUAAUUGCCUUAAGAACAAGCACCUGUAACUUUCUCCUCUUCUGAUGGAGAGCUGAGUUACCAAGUAUGGCGAGGGCGGAGAUUAAGAACUUGUGUGCAGGGGAAUUGGGACAUCUGUGUAAUGACUGCAUGUGAGCGUGCAUGCACACACACACAAACACAUGCAUGUGCACACGCACUCGUGACUCCAGCCACAGAGUCCUCGGGUCUCCUGGGUGAAGGGGCCCUGGAGCAGUCUGCCUCGGCACCUGUGACAACUCACAUCUUGAGCUCUGCAAACCAUUCUAAUAAAUUGGCUUGAAACAAUGGUUUCCUUGGCGACACAGUUGCGUCCAGGGCUGUGUCAAGGGACGUAUAAGGUGAGGGCUAGAAUGGGAUGGAAGAAAGUGACCAGAGAAUGGAGCCCCGUGCUGACGAAGACGUUGCACGAGCCAACUGAUGAAGAUGUUCCACUGGUCAUUUCAGGUACAAUUUGAGCAUCGAAAUACAUAAGGAUAGAAAGACGUAGUUAUCCAUUGAAUGAACUGAGAAUUGCUCAUUCCCUGAGUGAACGGGAAGGAAACACUCCUCCUUGCUGAAGAAAACCAACAAAGAAACGUGGAAGGGAAGGCAAGGUUAGGAAGUCCUUGUCUGACAGCUGUUGACUGAGGCCAAAACCAGGGGUAGAAAGUUGGAGCCACGAAACAUCUUGUUUCCAAGGGUCCAAGAUACUUCUUAACAGAAAGGACCACAGAGGAGCUUUGCACCUGAGAAACCUUGCAGACGCCACAUUCCCCAAAGGACGGAAGUUACCUUCACCCCCAAACGAGGUCAAGUCACCCUUGCUAUGGUUCGUAAGACGAUCACAGCGUCACUUCCGAGGGUCUUCUGCCCCAGAUACGUGACCUGCAACAAAUCACGACAAAAUAUCUAAGUACCCACACUGAGUGACAUUCUCAAAACAAUGGCUCAAAGUUUUUAAAGAAAGUGAAAUGUAAAAACAUGCUUCUGAUUAAAGGAGACUCAAGUGAUCAUGAUUAAUAUAAUACGUGUCCUUUUGUGAAACCCUGGCCUGGGCUGGGCAGGGGUCCUUUAUGAUAGACAUUAUUGGGACAAUUAAUGACAUUUUGAACAGAGACUGCGAAUUCCAUAACAGUAUUGUAUCAUAUUCAGUUUCCUGGAUUUGAACAUUCUUCUGUCGUUUCAUAAGAGUAUCCUUGUUUUUCGGGAAUAUACUGAUAUAUUUAGGGUAAAAGUGUGCUGCCUGGGAACCUCCUUAUGCCAUAAGAGCGGCCCCAGAAAAGGCAAAAAGACAAAUAAAAUAAAAUAAAAUAAAUAAAUAAAUGGGGGGAGUUCCUGUCAUGGCUCAGCAGAAAUGAAUCUGACUGUUAUCUACCAGGAUGCGGGUUCAAUCCCUGGCCUUGCCCAGUGGGUUAAGGAUCCAGCAUUGUGGUGAGCUGUGGUGUAGGUCACAGAUGGGGCUUGGAUCCUGCAUUGUGGUGGCUGUGGUGUAGGCCGGUGGCUGUAGCUCCAAUUUGACCCCUAGCCUAGGAAUCUCCAUAUGCCACAGGUACGGCCCUAAAANAAAAAAAAAAAAAAAAAAAAAAA